Molecule: small nuclear RNA, 106 nt
Organism: Ursus americanus (American black bear)
Lineage: Eukaryota; Metazoa; Chordata; Mammalia; Carnivora; Ursidae
Source: Ensembl
GUGCUUGCUCUGGCAGCGCACAGACUGACACUGAAUGAUACAAGGAUGAUUAGCAUGGCCCCCACUCAAGGAGGACCCACAAAUUUGUGACACGUUCCACAGUUCA